UACUUCUGGGGAUUUUCCAUAUUGGUGGAAGAAAGUGUUUGGGAUACCUAAGUAAAUCCACUAAGGGAACGUCGACUCCUAAUCCUACAAAUCCUUCUAGAAGAUGAAAUGGAAAGGUGACUGCUCCAGAUCUGGCUGAUUGGUCUUCACAUCUUUUAUGGUUUCUGUCAACUCUGAGAUUCAGCGAUUGGCUUAUUGAUGGCUCAAAGAAACACUUGGUGGAAUAGAAGUCUCCCACCAUCUCUCCCGUACUGCAGAAGCAUGUGCUGCAGCAGGCCUGUGACAGAGGAACCAUGACACAAAAUGUAAAGCACUUCGACACCCUGCCCCCUCGACUGCUGUGUGAAUGAUAAACAUCCAAUAAAAACCAGAGCACAAAAA
Long non-coding RNA from Miniopterus natalensis, 381 nucleotides. RefSeq lists it as uncharacterized. The record is from RefSeq and is a predicted model, not a curated record. Lineage: Eukaryota; Metazoa; Chordata; Mammalia; Chiroptera; Miniopteridae.